Molecule: non-coding RNA, 433 nt
Organism: Plectropomus leopardus (leopard coralgrouper)
Lineage: Eukaryota; Metazoa; Chordata; Actinopteri; Perciformes; Serranidae
Source: RefSeq, a predicted model, not a curated record
UCUUGUUUUCGAUGUGUUUUAGCAGCUGCAGUAAAGCUCCUCGUUUUUAAUCCACCUGAAUUUCUACAGAAACAAGAACUGUGUUUGUCAACAGAUCAAUACUGAAAAAUUUACCAUUUUAUAUUUACUAUAUUUAAUGUCCUAAAAUCCAAGAAAUGUCCUGAAAUCCUGGAAACGUCUGGCUGCUGUAAGGGGCCCCUGAACAGAGCAGACUCAGCAGAAGACGUCGGACUGUCUUCAGUGUGAGCUCCUGACCGAAAAAGAGCCGCAGCCGUUCCUCGGCGAUCUCAUAUCCAUAAUUCAGAUGGUGAACUCGUGACCCUGCUGAUGGCUCCUCCACAGACUUUUCAGGACACUUCAUAACCUCCUGUCCUCUUCAUGAACUUUUCAUAUCACCCGAGCACAAAUAAAAUGUACCAUGCAUGACGUCAAA